UACAGAGGUCUCAAGCGUUGUUCGGAUUCAUUGGGCGUAAAGGGUGUGUAGGCGGCGCGGUAAGUCGGGUGUGAAAUCUCGGGGCUUAACUCCGAAACUGCAUUCGAUACUACCGUGCUUGAGGACGGGAGAGGAGACUGGAAUUUACGGUGUAGCGGUGAAAUGCGUAGAUAUCGUAAGGAAGACCAGUGGCGAAGGCGGGUCUCUGGACAGUACCUGACGCUGAGGCACGAAGGCCAGGGGAGCAAACGGG
This 253-nucleotide ribosomal RNA is filed under the name uncultured bacterium. RNAcentral describes it as "partial 16S ribosomal RNA". It matches the Rfam family "Bacterial small subunit ribosomal RNA", at positions 524 to 776 of the family's 1533-position model. The record is from RNAcentral.